This 767-nucleotide ribosomal RNA is filed under the name uncultured Chloroflexota bacterium. RNAcentral's name for it is "bacterial SSU rRNA". It matches the Rfam family "Bacterial small subunit ribosomal RNA", at positions 562 to 1344 of the family's 1533-position model. Lineage: Bacteria; Bacillati; Chloroflexota. The record is from RNAcentral.
AAAGCGUCUGUAGGCGGAUGAGUAAGUUGGGCGUGAAAGCUCCGGGCUCAACCCGGAGAGGCCGUUCAAUACUGCUGAUCUAGAGGAGGCCAGAGGGGAGUGGAAUUCCUGGAGUAGCGGUAAAAUGCGCAGAUAUCAGGAAGAACACCAGUGGCGAAGGCGGCUCCCUAGGGCCCACCUGACGCUGAGAGACGACAGCUAGGGGAGCGAACAGGAUUAGAGACCCUGGUAGUCCUAGCCGUAAACGAUGGAUGCUAGGUGUAGGGCCGUAGAGGUUCUGUGCCGGAGCGAACGCGAUAAGCAUCCCGCCUGGGGAGUACGGCCGCAAGGCUAAAACUCAAACGAAUUGACGGGGACCCGCACAAGCAGCGGAGCGUGUGGUUUAAUUCGAUGCUACACGAAGAACCUUACCUGGGUUUGACAUGGACGUGGUAGUGAAGCGAAAGCGGAGCGACCCUUCAGGGAGCGUUCACAGGUGCUGCAUGGCUGUCGUCAGCUCGUGCCGUGAGGUGUCGGGUUAAGUCCCGUAACGAGCGCAACCCUUGCCCUUAGUUACAAGUGUCUAAGGGGACUGCCGGCGGGAAGCCGGAGGAAGGUGGGGAUGACGUCAAGUCAGCAUGGCCCUUAUAUCCAGGGCUACACACACGCUACAAUGGUCGGUACAGAGGGCAGCGAAGCCGCGAGGUGGAGCGAAUCCCAGAAAGCCGGUCGUAGUUCGGAUUGCAGGCUGCAACCCGCCUGCAUGAAGCUGGAGUUGCUAGUAACCG